Molecule: ribosomal RNA, 807 nt
Filed under: uncultured bacterium
Lineage: Bacteria
Description: bacterial SSU rRNA
Rfam family: Bacterial small subunit ribosomal RNA
Source: RNAcentral
UGCAAGUCGAACGGCAGCGCGGGGCAACCUGGCGGCGAGUGGCGAACGGGUGAGUAAUAUAUCGGAACAUACCCUAGAGUGGGGGAUAACGUAGCGAAAGUUACGCUAAUACCGCAUACGCACUAAGGUGGAAAGUGGGGGAUCGCAAGACCUCAUGCUCAUGGAGUGGCCGAUAUCUGAUUAGCUAGUUGGUGAGGUAAAGGCUCACCAAGGCGACGAUCAGUAGCUGGUCUGAGAGGACGACCAGCCACACUGGAACUGAGACACGGUCCAGACUCCUACGGGAGGCAGCAGUGGGGAAUUUUGGACAAUGGGGGCAACCCUGAUCCAGCAAUGCCGCGUGAGUGAAGAAGGCCUUCGGGUUGUAAAGCUCUUUUGUCAGGGAAGAAACGGUGGUCUCUAAUAUAGACUGCUAAUGACGGUACCUGAAGAAUAAGCACCGGCUAACUACGUGCCAGCAGCCGCGGUAAUACGUAGGGUGCAAGCGUUAAUCGGAAUUACUGGGCGUAAAGCGUGCGCAGGCGGUUAUAUAAGUCAGAUGUGAAAUCCCCGGGCUCAACCUGGGAACUGCAUUUGAGACUGUAUGGCUAGAGUGUGUCAGAGGGGGGUAGAAUUCCACGUGUAGCAGUGAAAUGCGUAGAUAUGUGGAGGAAUACCGAUGGCGAAGGCAGCCCCCUGGGAUAACACUGACGCUCAUGCACGAAAGCGUGGGGAGCAAACUAGGAUUAGAUACCCUGGUAGUCCWCGCCCUAAACGAUGUCUACUAGUUGUCGGGUCUUAAUUGACUUGGUAACGCAGCUAACGCGU